RNAcentral lists this ribosomal RNA (584 nucleotides) under uncultured bacterium. Its description in RNAcentral is "partial 16S ribosomal RNA". It matches the Rfam family "Bacterial small subunit ribosomal RNA", at positions 355 to 932 of the family's 1533-position model. The record is from RNAcentral.
UGGGGAAUUUUGGACAAUGGGCGAAAGCCUGAUCCAGCAAUGCCGCGUGUGUGAAGAAGGCCUUCGGGUUGUAAAGCACUUUUGUCCGGAAAGAAAUCCUUGGCUCUAAUACAGUCGGGGGAUGACGGUACCGGAAGAAUAAGCACCGGCUAACUACGUGCCAGCAGCCGCGGUAAUACGUAGGGUGCAAGCGUUAAUCGGAAUUACUGGGCGUAAAGCGUGCGCAGGCGGUUUGCUAAGACCGAUGUGAAAUCCCCGGGCUCAACCUGGGAACUGCAUUGGUGACUGGCAGGCUAGAGUAUGGCAGAGGGGGGUAGAAUUCCACGUGUAGCAGUGAAAUGCGUAGAGAUGUGGAGGAAUACCGAUGGCGAAGGCAGCCCCCUGGGCCAAUACUGACGCUCAUGCACGAAAGCGUGGGGAGCAAACAGGAUUAGAUACCCUGGUAGUCCACGCCCUAAACGAUGUCAACUAGUUGUUGGGGAUUCAUUUCCUUAGUAACGUAGCUAACGCGUGAAGUUGACCGCCUGGGGAGUACGGUCGCAAGAUUAAAACUUAAAGGAAUUGACGGGGUCUAGCUGUUUCCU